Neofelis nebulosa (Clouded leopard) is the source of this 667-nucleotide long non-coding RNA. RefSeq lists it as uncharacterized. Lineage: Eukaryota; Metazoa; Chordata; Mammalia; Carnivora; Felidae. The record is from RefSeq and is a predicted model, not a curated record. The transcript is spliced from 2 exons.
CCUGGGGAGGGGGCAGCGGUGGGGAUGGCAUACCAGCUCUGGACGUGCAGAGCCAUGAGUGUGAGUCUCACUCUCCCACUCUCAAGCUCCCCCUCUCCGUGCCUCGGUCUUCCCAUCUCCCAGAUGGAGCCUCAGAGGGGCCAAUGCACUUGCCCAAGAUCACACAGAUGAGGGGCAGAGCUACAAACUGAGGACAGGGGGCUUGGAAACUUGUGCUCUUCGCCCUGCUCCAGCAAACUCCUCAAAGCCCCUCACCAGCGGGGCCUUCUCUUCUGUCUCCUGGAGGCCCAGACGCAGGAGGCUCAGGUCCACCUCCAGGGAGCCAUUGGUGUAGAAGCCGAAGCUAUUCAGCUGGAUGUCUGCUCGCUUCUCCCCCUGCCGGAGACCAAGGAGGAAGAGGCAGCGGCAGCUCAGACUUCUUUCCAACUCAGCCCCACGGCUCUGGCGCGAGGUCCCCCUAAGAGCUCGGCCCCCUCCUGGUACCCCUAGAUUGAGGACAGGUCCAAAGAGUAAUGGGAGAGGCUGAGAGGGCCUUCCCGGAGGCCAUGUCCCCAGACCAAUCCCCCGGGGAGGAACAGGGUAGCCCCACAUCCUCCAGCCACCAUUCUGAGAGUCCAGCAAAAGAAAGCCUGGGGCAUUUGCAAGUCUCCGCACUUGGUGAACACCA